RNAcentral lists this ribosomal RNA (758 nucleotides) under Chaetomium fimeti. RNAcentral's name for it is "LSU rRNA". It matches the Rfam family "Eukaryotic large subunit ribosomal RNA", at positions 92 to 883 of the family's 3401-position model. The record is from RNAcentral. Lineage: Eukaryota; Fungi; Ascomycota; Sordariomycetes; Sordariales; Chaetomiaceae.
AGUGAAGCGGCAACAGCUCAAAUUUGAAAUCUGGCCUCGGCCCGAGUUGUAAUUUGCAGAGGAAGCUUUAGGCGCGGCACCUUCUGAGUCCCCUGGAACGGGGCGCCAUAGAGGGUGAGAGCCCCGUAUAGUUGGAUGCCUAGCCUGUGUAAAGCUCCUUCGACGAGUCGAGUAGUUUGGGAAUGCUGCUCAAAAUGGGAGGUAAAUUUCUUCUAAAGCUAAAUACCGGCCAGAGACCGAUAGCGCACAAGUAGAGUGAUCGAAAGAUGAAAAGCACUUUGAAAAGAGGGUUAAAUAGCACGUGAAAUUGUUGAAAGGGAAGCGCUUGUGACCAGACUUGCGCCGGGCAGAUCAUCCGGUGUUCUCACCGGUGCACUCUGCCCGGCUCAGGCCAGCAUCGGUUCUCGCGGGGGGAUAAAGGCGUCGGGAACGUAGCUCCUCCGGGAGUGUUAUAGCCCGUCGCGUAAUGCCCUCGCGGGGACCGAGGUUCGCGCAUCUGCAAGGAUGCUGGCGUAAUGGUCAUCAGCGACCCGUCUUGAAACACGGACCAAGGAGUCAAGGUUUUGCGCGAGUGUUUGGGUGUAAAACCCGCACGCGUAAUGAAAGUGAACGUAGGUGAGAGCUUCGGCGCAUCAUCGACCGAUCCUGAUGUUUUCGGAUGGAUUUGAGUAGGAGCGUUAAGCCUUGGACCCGAAAGAUGGUGAACUAUGCUUGGAUAGGGUGAAGCCAGAGGAAACUCUGGUGGAGGCUCGCAGCGG